GAUUAAAACUCAAAGGAAUAGACGGGGACCCGCACAAGCGGUGGAGCAUGUGGUUUAAUUCGAAGAUACGCGAUAAACCUUACCUGGCCUUGACAUUGAUAGAAUCCUGUAGAGAUACGGGAGUGCCGGCUUGCCGGAACUUGAAAACAGGUGCUGCACGGCUGUCGUCAGCUCGUGUCGUGAGAUGUUGGGUUAAGUCCCGCAACGAGCGCAACCCACGUCCUUAGUUGCCAGCAUUUCGGAUGGGAACUCUAAGGAGACUGCCUUCGCAAGGAGGAGGAAGGUGUGGACGACGUCAAGCCAUCAUGGCCCUUACGGCCAGGGCUACACACGUGCUACAAUGGGGCGUACAAAGAGCAGCAAUACCGCGAGGUGGAGCAAAUCUCAAAAACGCCUCCCAGUUCAGAUUGCACUCUGCAACUCGAGUGCAUGAAGUUGGAAUCGCUAGUAAUCGUAGAUCAGCAUUGCUACGGUGAAUACGUUCCCGGGUCUUGUACUCACCGCCCGUCACACCAUGGGAGUUGAUUUCACCCGAAGCGGGGAUGC
This 546-nucleotide ribosomal RNA is filed under the name uncultured Campylobacterota bacterium. RNAcentral describes it as "bacterial SSU rRNA". It matches the Rfam family "Bacterial small subunit ribosomal RNA", at positions 892 to 1435 of the family's 1533-position model. The record is from RNAcentral. Lineage: Bacteria; Pseudomonadati; Campylobacterota.